AACGUAGGACGCAAGCGUUAUCCGGAGUUACUGGGCGUAAAGCGCGGGCAGGCGGCUCGAAACGUCUGAUGUGAAAUCUCCUCGCUCAACGGGGAGAGGCCAUUGGAAACGGUCGAGCUGGAGGGCAGUAGAGGUAGGCGGAAUCCCGGGUGGAGUGGUGAAAUGCGUAGAGAUCCGGAGGAACACCAGAGGCGAAGGCGGCCUACUGGGCUGCACCUGACGCUGAGCCGCGAAAGCCAGGGGAGCGAACGGG
RNAcentral lists this ribosomal RNA (253 nucleotides) under uncultured bacterium. RNAcentral describes it as "partial 16S ribosomal RNA". It matches the Rfam family "Bacterial small subunit ribosomal RNA", at positions 524 to 776 of the family's 1533-position model. The record is from RNAcentral.